Long non-coding RNA from Dromaius novaehollandiae (emu), 2030 nucleotides. RefSeq lists it as uncharacterized. The transcript has 7 exons. Lineage: Eukaryota; Metazoa; Chordata; Aves; Casuariiformes; Dromaiidae. The record is from RefSeq and is a predicted model, not a curated record.
ACAGAUGCUUACGGUGCCGUUUUCUUCCCAAAACUUUUCAAAGGAAACUGGCUGUGUCAAAACCCAUCACUGAAAGGGGAGUUUUUCAUUUUGGGGUGCGACACUAGUUCCAGGCUUGUGCGUGCUCUCGGUCGGUGCUCAAAAUAGGACCGAAGUACUGCAAAAGGCAGCAAUGCUCGUCAGUGAUAAGCCGCGGCCAACCGAUGGGAGCAAGAUUUCACAGAACUGCCUUUUGGACUGUGGCAGCUGCAAAAGAGGAGGUGCAAUAUUGUGGGCUGAAGAGAGGGACUGCUCACAGGGGAGGGAGUGGACCCACUUGCUUCCUCCAGGUGAAGCAGUAUAGCCGAAGGACAUAAGGUUAAGCGAAUGCCAGGCAAAUGAAAGAUGCCAGGAGAACAGCUCUGUUCCUGGAGGAUAAAGGAGAAAACUCUGCCCAAGCAAGCAGGCACUUCUGUCUAUACUGGGGUGUACUUCUCUAACGGGAAUGAAAGGAAGGUUUCCCUGAGGACACUGGAAUGCAGAUGGUCUCUCUGAGCCCCACUUGACCUCUCAAGUACAGGCUCUAGACUUGAAAGCAGGAAAUAGCAGGCUGCAUCUUCUCCUUCGCAACAAACUGUGAAGAGCUUCAGCAGGAGGCCUUGGCUUCAGGGAGAGGCAAUGUAUUGGAACACAUUGCAAAAAACACUUCAUGCAAGAAAAUGUCGGGAAGAUAUCUUAGGCUGAUGACACAGUUCAGUUGCAAAGCACAGUACUUGACGAGUCUCACAGAAGGAACCUGACACAGGUCUGCUGCGAUUUAUACCAGCUGCUAUAUAUAUAUGGAAGACUUGGGGAAGAACUACGGUGCAUGUUGCUGCAGCCUCGCCAUCCUUUGCUUCAGCCAACAUGCAAAGUCUUGCUGCCUGCUUGCUGGCUUCUUGCUGUAGUUACCAACUACCAGAAUCAAACAUCAUCUCCUAGCAAAGAAGAUUAGGCAUUGACAACGGCAAAGACCUGCUGCUGUGGAUUGUUCCUAACAGUCUGUUCCUGACUGUUUUCUUCAGUCUACUUCUAAAUGCUUCAGUGAUAAAAUGUCACCCUUUUCCCUUUUGAGCCAACUCACAAAUGGCAAGGGUUUUGCUUAUAACCUAAACUUGAAUAUAUCAUCCCAGUAUGUCAUUUUUGUCCCUCUCGUACCCCUGACUAAGCAGUUUUUUCUUUGAUGCCUUCCGAAGACAAAUGGGUUAAGCUAAAAUUUUCAGCAUCUUUCCAGUUCCUCACACCCCCCCUCGCUAUUUGUUGUAGCGCAUGAGGAGAAGAGAGCAAGCAUGUCUCUUGGGUUUGACGGCUCCCUUCUGCUUCUCCGUCUUCUGUGGCCGCUGCUUCUGCUGCUUUGCCUGUUAUCUGAAUGGCUGAUUUGCUGGCACACAGACAACUCCGGUCCCUUGGCGGGAAGCUGAGCACACACAGUAUUGCCAAGCAACACUUUCCCGUGGAUUGUGCGUGCCACAACUCUUGCUUGGGUGUCAUGUGCUGCAGUGUUCUUAUUUUCCAUCCAGCAAAAGUGCAUAUGUAUCGGGAUGUGGGAGGGAGUGGGCAGCAAUGAGAUCUUAGUGGGCUGAAGGAAAGUACUAUGGCAGAGGAGCCAGGUUUCCUCAGGGACAGUCAGAAAAGCAUAUAUAUUUUGCUCUGUUUCAGAGCUUUGAAUGGAAGCUGGAUUGCAGUGGAAUAUUCCAUGUCAUAGCUGCUAACGUGCCUGUAUGUCUCUCAUGACAGCACUGAUUGCUUCCUAGUCCACUACUAAUACACUGGAACAGUAUCUGUCAUUGCGCUCUACGAAGCUCGGCUGGACAUGGCAGGUAUGGCGCUGGAGGCAUACGUACCUCAGGUGAAGAUGAGGUACUUCGAAGAGGUCUUCCCCCCCAUUGAUUUAGGUUCCAGUUCUUUCACGUUCUUUCUUUCAGCAGUGCUUUGCCUUAAAUGAAGGAUAUUCCCUGUGCAACAUUUUACUGACCUCUUUGCUUUGAAACCGCAAAUCCUGGUUUGAGGAU